Molecule: ribosomal RNA, 406 nt
Filed under: uncultured bacterium
Lineage: Bacteria
Description: bacterial SSU rRNA
Rfam family: Bacterial small subunit ribosomal RNA
Source: RNAcentral
GUGGGGAAUAUUGGACAAUGGGCGCAAGCCUGAUCCAGCAAUGCCGCGUGAGUGAUGAAGGCCUUCGGGUUGUAAAGCUCUUUCGCACGCGACGAUGAUGACGGUAGCGUGAGAAGAAGCCCCGGCUAACUUCGUGCCAGCAGCCGCGGUAAUACGAAGGGGGCUAGCGUUGUUCGGAAUUACUGGGCGUAAAGGGCGCGUAGGCGGUACUUCAAGUCAGGCGUGAAAGCCCCGGGCUCAACCUGGGAACCGCGCUUGAGACUGGAGAACUAGAGUUCGGGAGAGGAUGGUGGAAUUCCCAGUGUAGAGGUGAAAUUCGUAGAUAUUGGGAAGAACACCGAUGGCGAAGGCAGCCAUCUGGACCGACACUGACGCUGAGGCGCGAAAGCGUGGGGAGCAAACAGGA